Molecule: small RNA, 202 nt
Filed under: Streptomyces sp.
Lineage: Bacteria; Bacillati; Actinomycetota; Actinomycetes; Kitasatosporales; Streptomycetaceae
Also listed under: 1 other name
Description: c-di-AMP sequence
Rfam family: c-di-AMP riboswitch aptamer (ydaO/yuaA leader)
About the family: This family represents a conserved RNA structure found upstream of the ydaO and yuaA genes in Bacillus subtilis and related genes in other bacteria. The ydaO/yuaA element is thought to act as a genetic "off" switch for the ydaO and yuaA genes in its native state. It is believed that the element may be triggered during osmotic shock leading to activation of ydaO, a predicted amino acid transporter gene, and members of the yuaA-yubG operon which code for KtrA and KtrB K+ transporters.
Source: RNAcentral
UCGGGCGGAACGCCGAAUCCUGCCGCCGCCCGUACACCCACCUAGAACGCACGGCAGGAGCGGGGGAACCAGGUAAGUCGCCAGGCCGGAUGUUUCGGACAUAUCGGUACGGCUCGGGGUGAAGUCGCGCCCGUCAGGACGCGACCGGGCAACUCCCGCCCGAACCCGACAGCUCACCUCGCAGGCGCCGGAGAGGAAAUUC